GCCAGACUCCUACGGGAGGCAGCAGUGAGGAAUAUUGGUCAAUGGCCGCAGGGCUGAACCAGCCAAGUCGCGUGAGGGAUGACGGUCCUAUGGAUUGUAAACCUCUUUUGUCAGGGAGCAAAGGGCGCCACGUGUGGCGCUUUGCGAGUACCUGAAGAAAAAGCAUCGGCUAACUCCGUGCCAGCAGCCGCGGUAAUACGGAGGAUGCGAGCGUUAUCCGGAUUUAUUGGGUUUAAAGGGUGCGCAGGCGGAAUGUCAAGUCAGCGGUAAAAUUGCGGGGCUCAACCCCGUCGGGCCGUGGAAACUGGCGUUCUUGAGUAAGCGAGAAGUAUGCGGAAUGCGUGGUGUAGCGGUGAAAUGCAUAGAUAUCACGCAGAACUCCGAUUGCGAGGGCAGCAUACCGGCGCCCAACUGACGCUCAGGCACGAAAGCGGGGGUAUCGAACAGGAUUAGAUACCCUGUA
RNAcentral lists this ribosomal RNA (463 nucleotides) under uncultured bacterium. RNAcentral describes it as "bacterial SSU rRNA". It matches the Rfam family "Bacterial small subunit ribosomal RNA", at positions 330 to 791 of the family's 1533-position model. The record is from RNAcentral.